RNAcentral lists this non-coding RNA (25 nucleotides) under Cricetulus griseus (Chinese hamster). Lineage: Eukaryota; Metazoa; Chordata; Mammalia; Rodentia; Cricetidae. The record is from RNAcentral.
UAUGUAGAUUAGGAUGGUGUUGAUG